Molecule: ribosomal RNA, 515 nt
Filed under: uncultured bacterium
Lineage: Bacteria
Description: partial 16S ribosomal RNA
Rfam family: Bacterial small subunit ribosomal RNA
Source: RNAcentral
GAUGAACGCUGGCGGCGUGCCUAAUACAUGCAAGUCGAGCGAAUGGAUUAAGAGCUUGCUCUUAUGAAGUUAGCGGCGGACGGGUGAGUAACACGUGGGUAACCUGCCCAUAAGACUGGGAUAACCCCGGGAAACCGGGGCUAAUACCGGAUAACAUUUUGAACCGCAUGGUUCGAAAUUGAAAGGCGGCUUCGGCUGUCACUUAUGGAUGGACCCGCGUCGCAUUAGCUAGUUGGUGAGGUAACGGCUCACCAAGGCAACGAUGCGUAGCCGAACUGAGAGGGUGAUCGGCCACACUGGGACUGAGACACGGCCCAGAAUCCUACGGGAGGCAGCAGUAGGGAAUCUUCCGCAAUGGACGAAAGUCUGACGGAGCAACGCCGCGUGAGUGAUGAAGGCUUUCGGGUCGUAAAACUCUGUUGUUAGGGAAGAACAAGUGCUAGUUGAAUAAGCUGGCACCUUGACGGUACCUAACCAGAAAGCCACGGCUAACUACGUGCCAGCCGCCGCCGUAA